RNAcentral lists this ribosomal RNA (451 nucleotides) under uncultured bacterium. RNAcentral describes it as "bacterial SSU rRNA". It matches the Rfam family "Bacterial small subunit ribosomal RNA", at positions 330 to 795 of the family's 1533-position model. The record is from RNAcentral.
GCCAGACUCCUACGGGAGGCAGCAGUGGGGAAUAUUGCACAAUGGGGGAAACCCUGAUGCAGCAACGCCGCGUGAGUGAAGAAGUCUUUCGGUAUGUAAAGCUCUCUCAGCAGGGAAGAAAGAAAUGACGGUACCUGACUAAGAAGCCCCGGCUAACUACGUGCCAGCAGCCGCGGUAAUACGUAGGGGGCAAGCGUUAUCCGGAUUUACUGGGUGUAAAGGGAGCGUAGACGGCGAUGCAAGUCUGAAGUGAAAGGCGGGGGCCCAACCCCCGGACUGCUUUGGAAACUGUAUGGCUGGAGUGCAGGAGAGGUAAGUGGAAUUCCUAGUGUAGCGGUGAAAUGCGUAGAUAUUAGGAGGAACACCAGUGGCGAAGGCGGCUUACUGGACUGUAACUGACGUUGAGGCUCGAAAGCGUGGGGAGCGAACAGGAUUAGAUACCCCGGUAAAC